RNAcentral lists this ribosomal RNA (433 nucleotides) under uncultured bacterium. RNAcentral describes it as "partial 16S ribosomal RNA". It matches the Rfam family "Bacterial small subunit ribosomal RNA", at positions 30 to 507 of the family's 1533-position model. The record is from RNAcentral.
AGCGAACGCUGGCGGCAGGCCUAACACAUGCAAGUCGAACGAACUCUUCGGAGUUAGUGGCGGACGGGUGAGUAACACGUGGGAACGUGCCUUUUGGUUCGGAAUAACUCAGGGAAACUUGUGCUAAUACCGAAUGUGCCCUUCGGGGGAAAGAUUUAUCGCCAUUAGAGCGGCCCGCGUCUGAUUAGCUAGUUGGUGAGGUAACGGCUCACCAAGGCGACGAUCAGUAGCUGGUCUGAGAGGAUGACCAGCCACACUGGGACUGAGACACGGCCCAGACCCCGGGGGGAGGAAGCAGGGGGGAAUAGUGCGAAAGGGGCGAAGGCGGGAAGAGCCCAGGCGGGGUGAAUAAGGAAGUUUUGAGGGUUGAAAAUUUUUUUAACGGGGGCGGAUAAUGACGGUACCGGGAGAAGAAGCCCGGGCUAACUUCGUG